UCCUGUCAAUAUUCAAAAUAGUUUUUGUAAUAGAAAAUAAAAUUAAAAUUUCUGAAAAUAUAUAUUUCAUAUAAAUUCCAAUGGAUAAAAUUUGAAGUCCCAGAUAAAUAAAUUGCAAAUGAAGAAUUUUAACGAAUUAGGCGAAACUAUUUUGGCCGGAAAUCUUAAAAAGAGAAAAACUUUCGGGAUAUCGACAUUUGGUUACCAUUUAAAAUUAAUGCUCCAUCGAGAUUAGCCGAAAAAGAUGGAUUAAAGAGAUAUGGAGCUUCUGGGCAUGAAGGGGAAAAAGUGAUAUUGUCUUAUUUACUUAUCAUCCACAUUGGUUGUUAUAAACAUUUCUCUGUCUCGUUUUUUUUUUUUUUUUUUCUUUUUUUUUUUGUGAAAAGUAUGACAAUUGUCAUGCUCGUAAAACAAGCUGAAAGACAUGCCACUUGACAAACGUUGGCAAAAAAUAUUUAUCAGAUUUCCAGUUUUUUUUGUUUGCCUCUUUUUAUUAACCCAAUAAAAGUGUCUACCAGAAAUACCGACAAUUCUUAUCAGA
This is a long non-coding RNA of Musca domestica (house fly), 541 nucleotides long. RefSeq lists it as uncharacterized. The transcript is spliced from 2 exons. The record is from RefSeq and is a predicted model, not a curated record. NCBI's taxonomy places the organism in Eukaryota, Metazoa, Arthropoda, Insecta, Diptera, Muscidae.